RNAcentral lists this ribosomal RNA (253 nucleotides) under uncultured bacterium. RNAcentral's name for it is "partial 16S ribosomal RNA". It matches the Rfam family "Bacterial small subunit ribosomal RNA", at positions 524 to 776 of the family's 1533-position model. The record is from RNAcentral.
UACGUAGGGUGCGAGCGUUGUCCGGAAUUAUUGGGCGUAAAGAGCUCGUAGGCGGCUUGUCGCGUCGGAUGUGAAAGCCCGAGGCUUAACCUCGGGUCUGCAUUCGAUACGGGCAGGCUAGAGUGUGGUAGGGGAGAUCGGAAUUCCUGGUGUAGCGGUGAAAUGCGCAGAUAUCAGGAGGAACACCGGUGGCGAAGGCGGAUCUCUGGGCCAUUACUGACACUGAGGAGCGAAAGCGUGGGGAGCGAACAGG